Non-coding RNA from Bos taurus (domestic cattle), 57 nucleotides. Lineage: Eukaryota; Metazoa; Chordata; Mammalia; Artiodactyla; Bovidae. The record is from Rfam.
UGGCUCAGAGGUUAAAGCGCCUGCCUGGAAUGCGGGAGACCCAGAUUCGAUCCCUGG